This 468-nucleotide ribosomal RNA is filed under the name uncultured bacterium. RNAcentral's name for it is "partial 16S ribosomal RNA". It matches the Rfam family "Bacterial small subunit ribosomal RNA", at positions 28 to 507 of the family's 1533-position model. The record is from RNAcentral.
GACGAACGCUGGCGGCGUGCUUAACACAUGCAAGUCGAACGGAAAGGCCCUGCUUUUGUGGGGUGCUCGAGUGGCGAACGGGUGAGUAACACGUGAGUAACCUGCCCUUGACUUUGGGAUAACUUCAGGAAGCUGGGGCUAAUACCGGAUAGGAGCUCCUGCUGCAUGGUGGGGGUCGGAAAGUUUCGGCGGUUGGGGAUGGACUCGCGGCUUAUCAGCUUGUUGGUGGGGUAGUGGCUUACCAAGGCUUUGACGGGUAGCCGGCCUGAGAGGGUGACCGGCCACAUUGGGACUGAGAUACGGCCCAGACUCCUACGGGAGGCAGCAGUGGGGAAUAUUGCACAAUGGGCGGAAGCCUGAUGCAGCAACGCCGCGUGCGGGAUGACGGCCUUCGGGUUGUAAACCGCUUUCGCCUGUGACGAAGCGUGAGUGACGGUAAUGGGUAAAGAAGCACCGGCUAACUACGUG